GAUGAACGCUGGCGGCGUGCCUAAUACAUGCGAGUCGAGCGAACAGACGAGGAGCUUGCUCCUCUGACGUUAGCGGCGGACGGGUGAGUAACACGUGGAUAACCUACCUAUAAGACUGGGAUAACUUCGGGAAACCGGAGCUAAUACCGGAUGAUAUAUUGAACCGCAUGGUUCAAUAGUGAAAGACGGUUUUGCUGUCACUUAUAGAUGGAUCCGCGCCGCAUUAGCUAGUUGGUAAGGUAACGGCUUACCAAGGCGACGAUGCGUAGCCGACCUGAGAGGGUGAUCGGCCACACGGAACUGAGACACGGUCCAGACUCCUACGGGAGGCAGCAGUAGGGAAUCUUCCGCAAUGGGCGAAAGCCUGACGGAGCAACGCCGCGUGAGUGAUGAAGGUCUUCGGAUCGUAAAACUCUGUUAUUAGGGAAGAACAAAUGUGUAAGUAACUAUGCACGUCUUGACGGUACCUAAUCAGAAAGCCACGGCUAACUACGUG
This 496-nucleotide ribosomal RNA is filed under the name uncultured bacterium. RNAcentral's name for it is "partial 16S ribosomal RNA". It matches the Rfam family "Bacterial small subunit ribosomal RNA", at positions 28 to 507 of the family's 1533-position model. The record is from RNAcentral.